This 253-nucleotide ribosomal RNA is filed under the name uncultured bacterium. RNAcentral describes it as "partial 16S ribosomal RNA". It matches the Rfam family "Bacterial small subunit ribosomal RNA", at positions 524 to 776 of the family's 1533-position model. The record is from RNAcentral.
UACGGGGGGGGCAAGCGUUGUUCGGAAUUACUGGGCGUAAAGGGUGCGUAGGUGGUGAGGUAAGUCGGAUGUGAAAUCUCCGAGCUCAACUCGGAAAUGGCAUUGGAAACUACCUUGCUUGAGGGUUGGAGGGGGGACUGGAAUACUUGGUGUAGCAGUGAAAUGCGUAGAUAUCAAGUGGAACACCAGUGGCGAAGGCGAGUCCCUGGACAACUCCUGACACUGAGGCACGAAAGCUAGGGGAGCAAACAGG